Molecule: ribosomal RNA, 468 nt
Filed under: uncultured bacterium
Lineage: Bacteria
Description: partial 16S ribosomal RNA
Rfam family: Bacterial small subunit ribosomal RNA
Source: RNAcentral
GACGAACGCUGGCGGCGUGCUUAACACAUGCAAGUCGAACGGAAAGGCCCUGCUUUUGUGGGGUGCUCGAGUGGCGAACGGGUGAGUAACACGUGAGUAACCUGCCCUUGACUUUGGGAUAACUUCAGGAAACUGGGGCUAAUACCGGAUAGGAGCUCCUGCCGCAUGGUGGGGGUUGGAAAGUUUCGGCGGUUGGGGAUGGACUCGCGGCUUAUCAGCUUGUUGGUGGGGUAGUGGCUUACCAAGGCUUUGACGGGUAGCCGGCCUGAGAGGGGGACCGGCGACAUGGGGAAGGAGAGAGGGAGAAGAAGCGUACGGGCGGCAGGGGGGGGGAGCGGGGCGCAGUGGGGGGGAGCGGGAGAGGGCAGCGCCGGGUGCGGGAUGACGGCCGAGGGGUGAAAAACCACUGGGGCAGGUGACGAAGCGUGAGUGACGGUAAUGAAUAAGGAAGCACCGGCUAACGACGUG